Molecule: long non-coding RNA, 439 nt
Filed under: Rosa chinensis
Lineage: Eukaryota; Viridiplantae; Streptophyta; Magnoliopsida; Rosales; Rosaceae
Description: sRNA RchiOBHm_Chr2g0112831
Source: RNAcentral
UUUUUUCUUUUCCCUUCCUUUCUUUAAGUUAUCCUAUUAAGGAUUGAUACUAAGCACAGCAGAUCUAUUCCAUUAUUGAAAGAACAUUAAAUCAUCUAGCUUGAACCACAACCAGUGUCUUUUAUCACCUCAAAGCACCUUCUAAACUGCCUUAAUUAAAAUGGUCUGUUUACUAGGAUAUUGUUUAAAUUGCUCUUCCUCAUGAACUUGGUCUCCAUUCAUUCAUUCUUCGUGUUCCUUCAGGAUUACUAACAACAACCUUCAGUGCAGGAACUAAUUGCAAGGGAUCUUCAUGAUAAUGAAUGGAAAUGCAGAUAUAUCUUAAUGAUUGACUAUCUUAUUGGGGGAAUGUGUUAUAUACCUAGCAGCCGGCUAGGUGUGGUACUUCAUAUGGUAUUGCUGGUAGAAGAGAAAAGGGGAGCAGGGGUAGAAGCUUGAG